UACGAAGGGGGCUAGCGUUGUUCGGAUUUACUGGGCGUAAAGCGCACGUAGGCGGAUCGUUAAGUCGGGGGUGAAAUCCUGGAGCUCAACUCCAGAACUGCCUUCGAUGCUGGCGAUCUUGAGUCCGGAAGAGGUGAGUGGAACUCCUAGUGUAGAGGUGGAAUUCGUAGAUAUUAGGAAGAACACCAGUGGCGAGGGCGGCUCACUGGUCCGGUACUGACGCUGAGGUGCGAAAGCGUGGGGAGCAAACAGG
Molecule: ribosomal RNA, 253 nt
Filed under: uncultured bacterium
Lineage: Bacteria
Description: partial 16S ribosomal RNA
Rfam family: Bacterial small subunit ribosomal RNA
Source: RNAcentral